RNAcentral lists this unclassified non-coding RNA (76 nucleotides) under Novosphingobium sp. CF614. Its description in RNAcentral is "Makes More Granules Regulator RNA (mmgR)". It matches the Rfam family "Makes More Granules Regulator RNA (mmgR)". From Rfam's summary of the family: SuhB later renamed mmgR (makes more granules regulator) was a putative non-coding RNA found multiple times in the Agrobacterium tumefaciens genome and related alpha-proteobacteria. The record is from Rfam by way of RNAcentral. Lineage: Bacteria; Pseudomonadati; Pseudomonadota; Alphaproteobacteria; Sphingomonadales; Sphingomonadaceae.
CGACCCUGCCUUUCAGGCAUCCUCUCCCAAACUUCCAAAUCCCGGUCGGCAACGGCCGGGAUUUUUUUCGUCCCGC